AGUGAACGCUGGCGGUAGGCCUAACACAUGCAAGUCGAACGGCAGCACAGUAAGAGCUUGCUCUUACGGGUGGCGAGUGGCGGACGGGUGAGGAAUACAUCGGAAUCUACUUUUUCGUGGGGGAUAACGUAGGGAAACUUACGCUAAUACCGCAUACGACCUACGGGUGAAAGCAGGGGAUCUUCGGACCUUGCGCGAUUGAAUGAGCCGAAGUCGGAUUAGCUAGUUGGCGGGGUAAAGGCCCACCAAGGCGACGAUCCGUAGCUGGUCUGAGAGGAUGAUCAGCCACACUGGAACUGAGACACGGUCCAGACUCCUACGGGAGGCAGCAGUGGGGAAUAUUGGACAAUGGGCGCAAACCUGAUCCAGCCAUACCGCGUGGGUGAAGAAGGCCUUCGGGUUGUAAAGCCCUUUUGUUGGGAAAGAAAAGCAGCAGGUUAAUACCCCGCUGUUCUGACGGUACCCAAAGAAUAAGCACCGGCUAACUUCGUG
RNAcentral lists this ribosomal RNA (492 nucleotides) under uncultured bacterium. RNAcentral describes it as "partial 16S ribosomal RNA". It matches the Rfam family "Bacterial small subunit ribosomal RNA", at positions 29 to 507 of the family's 1533-position model. The record is from RNAcentral.